Molecule: non-coding RNA, 644 nt
Organism: Phoenix dactylifera (date palm)
Lineage: Eukaryota; Viridiplantae; Streptophyta; Magnoliopsida; Arecales; Arecaceae
Source: RefSeq, a predicted model, not a curated record
UAUGCCGGCCGCUUCUGAUUAGUACGCGGAGCGACUCCCCGUUUCUGAUUUUCUUGUGUCCUGCGGUGUCUCUCUUCUCUUUUCUUUUUCCAUAGAACAGUUCUGGUUUUCCCCCAAAAAAUUAUUAUAAAUUCUUUCUUCGAGAAGAUCUGCGGACGAAAAUAUGUGGAAAAUUUAGAGGGAGGCGAGGCCGCGAGAAUCGUCUACGUCGGCUCCAAGAACGCCUCCCAAGUCACCUACAGGAUCUCUCGCCUCGUCGCCGAUGAUCCUGUUGAUGAGGAAGCUCCAGCUGAUCUGUUAAAAGAAUGAGGAUUCAUGAUCACCUUAGGAAAGAUGGAUAUGCUGCAAAUGCAGAAAAUUGUGUUGGUUAUCAUCUCCACUAAGAAACACGAUGAUUUAGCAAGGAUCAUCUUACACAAAGAUGGAAAUUGGAUUUGUAAAAAAAUAUAUUGAUAUUAUUGCGAAUUAUGGAGAGGUGGCUUAGUUGCUAGCUGCUCUAGAGUUUAACAAAAAGAAAAAGAAAUUUAGUUUCUGUAAGAUAUGCAGUAUACUGAGAUUUUAUCUUGAUCUUUUGCUGCUAUGUGCUGCAAGUUUCGAUUCCUUAUGGUAUAACUUUUUUCUCCAUGUUGAUGUGGCCAAGUCAA